GGAGGUAGUGACAAUAAAUCACAAUGCGGAACUUUUGUUUUGCAAUUGGAUUGAGAACAACGCACAACACUUAUCGAUAAACAAUUGGAGGGCAAGUCUGGUGCCAGCAGCCGCGGUAAUUCCAGCUCCAAUAGCGUAUAUUAACGUUGUUGCAGUUAAAAAGCUCGUAGUUGAAGUGAAGUAAUGAAGUUGUGAUUUGAAAUUUUCAUUUCGCUUCUUAAUUACUCUUUCCAAAUUGUUUGCAUGGGUAUUCAUUUAUCUGUGUAUUGCAUUUGGUCAUUUACUGUGAGAAAAUUAGAGUGUUCAAAGCAUACGUUUGUUUGAAUACAUUAGCAUGGAAUAAUUCGAAAAGGCUUUCAUGUUCGAUUUGAUUGGUUUGUUUGUGAGAGCAAGAUUAAAAGGGACAGUUGGGGGUAUUCAUAUUCAAUAGUCAGAGGUGAAAUUCUCGGAUUUAUGGAAGAUGAACAAGUGCGAAAGCA
Molecule: ribosomal RNA, 479 nt
Filed under: Blastocystis sp.
Lineage: Eukaryota; Bigyra; Opalinata; Blastocystidae
Description: SSU rRNA
Rfam family: Eukaryotic small subunit ribosomal RNA
Source: RNAcentral